RNAcentral lists this unclassified non-coding RNA (314 nucleotides) under plant metagenome. RNAcentral's name for it is "partial contains 5.8S ribosomal RNA, internal transcribed spacer 2, and large subunit ribosomal RNA". The stretch from base 1 to 105 matches the Rfam family "5.8S ribosomal RNA", at positions 50 to 154 of the family's 154-position model. The record is from RNAcentral.
GAAAUGCGAUAAUUAAUGUGAAUUGCAGAAUUCAGUGAAUCAUCGAGUCUUUGAACGCACAUUGCGCCCCCUGGUAUUCCGGGGGGCAUGCCUGUCCGAGCGUCGUUGCUGCCCUCAAGCACGGCUUGUGUGUUGGGCUUCCGUCCCUGGCAACGGGGACGGGCCCAAAAGGCAGUGGCGGCACCAUGUCUGGUCCUCGAGCGUAUGGGGCUUUGUCACCCGCUCCCGUAGGUCCAGCUGGCAGCUAGCCUCGCAACCAAUCUUUUUAACCAGGUUGACCUCGGAUCAGGUAGGGAUACCCGCUGAACUUAAGC